UCUGAAGUUUUAUCGGCUAUUUUUGCCGAAGUGAUGCAAGGGAAACCUGAAUUUACCGACCAUUUGACACAUAAGUUAAAGCACCACCCUGGCCAAAUUGAGGCUGCUGCUAUCAUGGAGCACAUUUUGGAUGGAAGUUCCUACAUGAAAGCUGCAAAGAAGUUGCAUGAGGUGGAUCCUUUGCAAAAGCCAAAACAAGAUCGAUAUGCACUUAGAACUUCACCUCAGUGGCUUGGCCCUCUGAUUGAAGUGAUUCGAUUCUCAACAAAGUCGAUCGAGAGAGAGAUUAAUUCUGUGAACGACAACCCUUUGAUUGAUGUUUCCAGAAACAAGGCCUUGCACGGUGGUAAUUUCCAAGGGACCCCUAUUGGAGUUUCCAUGGACAACACACGUCUGGCCCUUGCAGCAAUUGGAAAACUCAUGUUUGCUCAGUUCACUGAGCUUGUGGAUGACCACUACAACAAUGGCUUACCUUCAAAUCUCACUGCUAGUAGAAAUCCCAGCUUGGAUUACGGUCUUAAGGGAGCUGAAAUUGCAAUGGCUUCUUAUUGCUCUGAACUCCAAUAUCUUGCAAAUCCAGUCACAACUCAUGUCCAAAGUGCUGAGCAACACAACCAAGACGUGAACUCUUUGGGUUUGAUUUCUUCUAGAAAAACCAACGAAGCCGUUGAGAUCCUUAAGCUCAUGUCUUCCACAUUCUUGAUUGCACUUUGUCAAGCAAUUGACUUGAGGCAUUUGGAGGAGAACUUGAAAUACUCAGUGAAGAGCACUGUAAGUCAAGUUGCCAAGAGGACUCUUACCACAGGUGUCAACGGAGAACUCCAUCCUUCCAGGUUUUGUGAAAAAGAUUUGCUGAAGGUGGUCGAUAGGGAAGCUGUAUUUGCCUACAUUGAUGACCCUUGCCUUGCUACUUACCCAUUGAUGCAGAAACUGAGGCAAGUGCUUGUGGAUCAUGCUUUAGUAAAUGGAGAAAACGAGAAGGACUCAAAGACAUCAAUCUUUCAAAAGAUUGCAACUUUUGAGGAUGAGUUGAAGAGUCUCUUGCCAAAGGAGGUUGAAAGUGCAAGGGCUGCAUAUGAGAGUGGCAAUCCAACAAUUUCAAACAAGAUUAACGAAUGCAGGUCUUAUCCAUUGUACAAGUUUGUGAGGGAGGAGCUGGGAACUGAGUUGCUAACUGGUGAAAAGUCCAGGUCACCAGGCGAGGAGUGUGACAAAUUGUUCACAGCAAUAUGCCAGGGUAAAAUUAUUGAUCCUCUUUUGGAAUGCCUUGGGGAGUGGAACGGUGCCCCUCUUCCAAUAUGCUAACUUUAUUAGUAACUUUUAGAAAUGGUUUCUUUGUAUCUUCGCAAGGGAAGCAUUAAUCAUUCAGAUUAUCAAGUCCUUAGCAAACUAAUAAGGAAAACUCCAUCUCAAUUUCCUCGAUGUGAAAGAGGAGCUUGUAAUUUAAUAUUAUAUAAUAGAAUUUUUAGUUGUUUGCCAGAGCUUUGAGUAUCACUAUAUUAUAAUACAUAGUUUCAUGUCUUUGAAACUGCAAACAUUUUUCUUUAUGUUGUAUUUAGUUGAGUUCAAGUUUGUUUCUUAAGAUCAGCAUUACCUCAGCUUUUGGAAAAUCACAUCUAAUCGUGUGGAAUUACAACUGAAGACAAGGGCAAACAGUAUAUUCAAAUACUCGUUAGUCAGCACAUUUAACAGCAGCGAGGGGCUGGAGUCUUUAGUUCAUUUAGCAUAUUUUGUCUAUAAUUCAGCAAAGAGUGUCUUUUCUCCAUUCAGAAAAUGGACAAUUAGACACAGCAAUCAUUUCUCACUUUCAUGUUUUGAUGCCUAAAAAUAUCUGUUUUCAUCAGCACAUGUAUAACCAAUUUUAGUGUAUGAGUUUCAGAUGAUGUUUCCCACCCUUUGUUCACUUGUUGUUCUAGCUAUAUCUUUUCUUGAUUUUGUAAAUUUUAUACAAUCUUCAAAAAUUGUGCCAACAAUAGGUUUAACCAUGACAAUGGUUUGAUCAAAUGAAAUGUCCCUAUUCACAUGCUUUGGUAUUUUACUUUUGUUAUAAUGAACUCUGCACAGCUUUAUAUCUUUCUUCCUUGCAUCCUGCUCCAAAAUGUAGUGUCUCUUACCAUCCCUACCCCACUGAAAAUGAAAUCCUCCAAAGAUUCUUUAAAAUUCACUCCACUUUCUUGAAGACAAUUUACUGAUACUCAUUGCACUAGAUGCCUACAGUCCCUCCACUAAUUCAGAAUUUUGUAGAAGGUAUAUUAGCCAGGUCAGGUAGCUAAACAUUUGAAAACCAAAGUCAUCAGAGAAAGGAAACUAUGUUUGUACAACCUGUCAGUAUGUUUUACUUAUCCUACUUAUCACUGAUGUUGCACAUUUGCAAUAGAAUUAACUUUGAAGCAAAUAUUGACAUGAUACUCUGGGUUGUCAAAGGGUUAACCACCAAUUAUGUAAAUUGCUCAAAUCUUUGAGCAGGAAUAUGAGAGGUAUGGUUCCAUGAUACAUGACAAUUGGAAAAGCUAGGCAUUGCCACUGUACAGGGGAAACAUAUUUAGUAGGGCUAUUAAGAUUUAAGAGGUGCAUAUGCAUGAAACAGCACGACACCAAUAAUAUAAGGCAUUCAAUACAUCAACAAAUCUUCUGUCUAGGUACAGUACUUUCUACAAGCAAUAAAGUUUAAUGUAGAAUAUGGAAUUAUGGCUAAACAUGUGGCAAUAGGCUAAUUGCACCAUACUAAUUAUUAGGUGUGUAAAAAGUAAUUUUAGGAUGUACUCACUUGCCUUUGAGAUAGACAUCUGUGGUACCUGGGCUUUAGCCUUUUUGUGCUGGGCCUUUACGCUUUUAAUAUGAUCCACCUUUGACCCAAAAAAAGAUCUUAUAUCAGCAAUGAGGGAUCAAAAGCAGUAAUGAAGCAGAAGUUAACCAUUGACCAAAAAAAAAAAGCAGAAGUUAACCAGAAUAGCAGGGAGCACUAGUUUUGGACACAUUGUCAUGCACUAAGCAACAAUAGAAGCCAGUUCAACAUACUAUCACAUAGAGGAUUUAAUUUUUAAGGUAGAGUUUUCAAUUUUUUCCCUGAUGUAAUUUUUUUCUUUUUAGGUAGAGGAGUUGAAUGAAUCAAGUUGAGCUAAUGAACCAGACAGAACUCCAAAUCAAAUAAAUUAAAUUAAACUGGUUUAGAUAGUUGUUAAAACUUGACGUACAUGUUUAGCUUUUUCGUUGACUGAAUACACCAAACCAUGAAACUUAUUAGUAGAAUAUUAGAUAAAAUAAUAUGAUUGUCAUGUUGGUUGAAAAAAUUACAAAAUAAAAACCAAGCCGUCUAAAUUAUUAGAAUUCGGUGUGAUGUAGAGGCUUGACUUGACUACGUUUGGAGUUGAACUAGCAAGAGUGGUGUUCCCACAUUGCUUCCUUCGUCUAAUGCUGACCCCAACAACCUACCUCCACAUUUCGUUUGGAAACACAGCAGCCACGUUGCAAGAUCAUAGCCGCUGGUAAAGGGAGUAGCAAUCCUACGGAUAUAAUUAGUUUUCCACCAACCCCCUUUCUAACAGAGCCCGCCAAUCCUAUUCUACCUAACAAAACCACAUGACACACACACCACAUUCUCUAUAAAUUCCCACUCACCAUUCCCUUCAUCUCUCAGGAAAUCAACAACCCUCCUAAGUAUUUCCACAUUCAACACAACAAUCUCUACCUCAUAACUUGAGCAAGCCAGCUCCAUUUGUGUUUCAAUAAUCAAUCUUCCAAGUAAACUAUUUAUCAGUUUGCAUUUUUAAGAUGGCACCAACCACCAACGGCCACCACCAAAGCCAAACCGAUUCCAUCUUUUGCACUACAGCUAAAACUGGCAGUGAUCCCUUGAGUUGGGGUGUAGCGGCGGAGUCAAUGAAGGGGAGCCAUCUAGACGAGGUCAAGCGCAUGGUGGCGGAGUACAGGAAGCCGGUGGUCAAGCUUGGCGGAGAGACCCUGACAAUAGCUCAGGUGGCUGCCAUUGCCGCAAACGACAGCGUGAGCGUUGAGCUGUGCGAAUCAGCUAGAGCCGGCGUUAAGGCGAGCAGUGACUGGGUCAUGAACAGCAUGAACAACGGCACUGACAGUUACGGAGUCACCACCGGAUUCGGGGCCACCUCCCACCGUAGAACCAAAAAUGGCAAUGCUUUGCAGCUAGAACUCAUCAGGUACUAUACUAUACUAACUCAAAUCCACACUCAUCAUAACUAACUAGUACUAAUUAAUUAAUCAUCAUAUUUACAAUUACAUUCAUUGUAUAAAAGUUGUUGAUGUUUAUAUAUUAUUGUUCUUCAGGUUUUUGAAUGCUGGAAUAUUUGGCAAUGGUACCGAGACAAACCACACACUGCCACAGCCUGCAACCAGAGCAGCCAUGCUAGUGAGGAUCAACACUCUUCUCCAAGGGUACUCAGGCAUUAGAUUUGAAAUCCUAGAAGCUAUCACCAAGCUCAUCAACAACAACAUCACCCCAUGUUUACCACUUCGUGGUACUGUCACGGCUUCUGGUGAUCUUGUCCCUCUUUCCUACAUUGCUGGUUUGCUUACUGGCCGACAAAACUCCAAAGCUGUAGGACCCUCUGGCGAGGUGAUUAAUGCCAAGAAAGCUUUCCAAUUGGCUGGCAUUGACUCAGGGUUCUUCGAAUUGCAGCCCAAGGAAGGGCUUGCCCUUGUGAAUGGUACUGCUGUUGGUUCAGGGUUAGCUUCUAUUGUUCUAUUUGAUGCUAACGUAUUGGCUAUACUAGCUGAAGUUCUAUCGGCUAUUUUCGCUGAAGUGAUGCAAGGGAAACCUGAAUUCACUGACCAUUUGACACAUAAGUUGAAGCACCACCCUGGCCAAAUUGAGGCUGCUGCUAUCAUGGAGCACAUCUUGGAUGGAAGUUCCUACAUGAAGGCAGCAAAGAAGUUGCACGAGGUGGAUCCCUUGCAAAAGCCAAAACAGGAUCGUUAUGCACUCAGAACUUCCCCACAGUGGCUUGGCCCUCUGAUUGAGGUGAUUCGAUUCUCAACAAAGUCAAUCGAGAGAGAGAUUAAUUCUGUGAACGACAACCCUUUGAUUGAUGUCUCCAGAAACAAGGCCUUGCACGGUGGUAAUUUCCAAGGAACCCCUAUUGGAGUUUCCAUGGACAACACACGCCUGGCGCUUGCAGCAAUUGGCAAACUCAUGUUUGCUCAAUUCACUGAGCUGGUGGAUGAUCAUUACAACAAUGGGUUGCCUUCAAAUCUCACAGCAAGUAGAAAUCCCAGCUUGGAUUAUGGUCUCAAGGGAGCUGAAAUUGCCAUGGCUUCUUAUUGCUCAGAACUCCAAUAUCUUGCAAAUCCCGUCACAACCCAUGUGCAAAGUGCUGAGCAACACAACCAAGAUGUGAACUCUUUGGGUUUGAUUUCUUCUAGAAAAACCUAUGAAGCCAUUGAGAUCCUUAAGCUCAUGUCUUCCACAUUCUUGAUUGCACUUUGCCAAGCAAUUGAUUUGAGGCAUUUGGAGGAGAACUUGAAACACUCAGUGAAGAGUACUGUCAGUCAAGUUGCCAAGAGGACUCUUACCACUGGUGUUAGCGGAGAACUCCAUCCUUCCAGGUUUUGUGAAAAAGAUUUGCUGAAGGUGGUCGAUAGGGAAACUCUAUUUGCCUACAUCGAUGACCCCUGCCUUGCUACUUACCCAUUGAUGCAAAAGCUGAGGCAAGUGCUUGUGGAUCAUGCGUUAGUAAAUGGAGAAAAUGAGAAGGACUCAAAGACAUCAAUCUUUCAAAAGAUUGGAAGUUUUGAGGAUGAGUUGAAGAGUCUACUGCCAAAGGAGGUUGAAAGUGCAAGGGCUGCAUAUGAGAGUGGCAAUCCAGCAAUUCCAAACAAGAUCAAUGAAUGCAGAUCUUACCCACUGUACAAGUUUGUGAGGGAAGAGUUGGGAACUGAGUUGCUAACUGGUGAAAAGUCCAGGUCACCAGGUGAGGAGUUUGACAAACUGUUCACAGCAAUAUGCCAGGGUAAAAUUAUAGAUCCUCUUUUGGAAUGCCUUGGGGAGUGGAACGGUGCUCCUCUUCCAAUUUGUUAACUUUACUAGUUUCUUCAGGAUAUGUUUUCUUUGUACUUAUGCUACUGUAACUUUAUUCAUUUGCUUUAUCAAGCCUUGGGCAAAAUAAUAUGGAAAACUAAUUUGCGGAAUAUGGAAUUAUGGCUAAACAUGUUACUAGGCUAUAGCUAUUUGUACCAAACUAAUUUGUGGAAUUUCUCCACAAUAUGCUAACUUUAAAGAUCAAAUUCCCUGUACAGGUAUGACAUUGAACUCUUAAGCAAGGUAAACAGGAAAUAAAACUAAAUAAGGAUAGAAAGAAAGAGAACAAAUAAACCCUGGCAUUGCUCAUCAACUUUUAAUAUCUGCUAAACAACCACCUGGAAUGUCCCCAUCCAAAGCAACCUCAAGAUCAAUAAACCACUAAAUCAUGAUAUGUGACAUAUAUAUCAAAGCAGAAAGACAAGAGAUAAAAGUAGAUUUUUGCAAAAGCUGGGUGCGAGGGGAAAUGAUGAGAAUCUGACAUUAAAUCAGAAUAAGCCUGCAGACCCUAAACCAAGUUCUAUAAAUUUCAUCUCACCUUAUUCAAAUAAAAAAACCAGAAUACCAACCAUUAAAAGUUAGUCUAAUAUUUUGGAAUUGCUCUUAAAUUUCAGCAAGCUAGUAGUUUGAUUACCUGGCUUUUACCAAAAAGAGACUUAUGUGAGAAACAUGUUACAGACAACAUGUUACAGAACAUUUUCCCACCCUUUCCCAAAACUUAUGCAUCAUAGAUGCAGUUCAGUAUAUUAAGAUCACCAACUCAGACCAGAAUCUUUGGUUUUUAGCUUAUCUGAAACCAAUUCAGGGAAGUAACAACACUUCAGUCUAGUACAGAUAGAGGAGUAGAAUCAAAUGAAAUCAAUGUAUAAGUUUUACAUUUAUACACCAAUUUUAGGCCACUAGUUUGUUUUAAUCCAAUGUCUGCGAAGAAUGCAAAUCUUAUAUGUAAAAUCCAACGCUAAUUAGGGAAAAGGGAUAAGCUCUAGACAGAAUAAAACUAUAAUUGUUUCUAAAACUCUUACAGUUCGAGAGAAGACAUUUUACCAUGCUAUGUGAUGUGAUGUGAGGUUUAAACUUCAGAAUAUAGUGAUUUGUACCCUUUGCAUCAUACGUGUAAUUGUUAAGUAAUCUUAUACUUUUUCUACCUCUUCCCACCGUUUUUGUCUGCUCACCUGUGCUUUCUGCUUUGAACUUCACUAUGUUCAUAAUCCUGUUUGUCUUACCUCUCAUUUCCACUCUGUUUUUGUUCUUAUUUUUUCUCUAUUCUAUCUCUAUCACAUCACUUAUGCUAUCACUCAUUUCUCUCUCUUAUAUUUCUUUCAAAAAGUGUAGAGGGUAAAAGUAUGAAGAGAACAUUAAUCUUCUGUUUUUCCUUCUUUUCUCAUUCAAUCGUAUUAUUAAGUACAAGAGCUCUUAAACUUAUAUCAAAUAAAAAUUUCAAAAAAAAAUUGCAUUUUGUUAAAUCCCGAAUAUAUAUAUAUAUAUAUAUAUAUAUAUAUAUAUAUUUAAUUAAAAUAAAAACAAAAUUACUAUUUGAUUCACAUUUUUUAUCAAUAUUUAUAUUUUCUUUCUAAGGUGUAUAAUUGUCAAUUAUGAUAUGAGUAUAAUUCAUUUACACUCUUAUAAUUUUCCACUUCAUUUACUUUUUCUUAAUUAUAUACACAUAACAUAAGGGGUAAGCCCUUCUAAGAAAAUGAGAAGAAAAAAAAAAUGGUAGUCCGUCCAUCCAAUCAGAACCAUCCCAGAAUGAAGUCUAUAGAUUAAUCAACAAAUUAAUAACAGCAGAAGUGCAAAAAACCAGAACCACUAAAAGAAAACCAGCCAAAUGAGAAAUAAACCAAAAUAGCAGGGGACACCAGUUUUGAACACCAUGGUCAUGCCUUAAGCAACAAAAGAAGCCGGCUCAGCAUAAUAUUUUUCUUUGUAUUUCAUCUCAUCUCCACAUAUAUUCUCUUCUUAAUUAUUUCUUAUUUUUCUAUCAUAUUACAUAUCGUCUCUCUCAUUUUCUCUUUUUUUUUCCUUUCUCCCACUUGGUAUAAGUAUGGGAGAAGUGUGAAUAACAACUUAUUCAUCAUAAUAUAGAAGAUGUUAACGUUUAAGAAAGAAUUUUCUAUUUUUUUCACUGAAGUAAUUUUUUUCUUUUUAGGCACAUGAGUUGCUUGAAUAAAGCUGUGCUACUUAAUCGAACAGUACUCCAAGAGUCCAAGUCAAAUAGAUUAAACUGGUUUAGAUAAUUGUUUCCUUUGAUGUCAAAACUUGACCCAUGCACGUGCUUUAGCUUACGUUGACUGAAACCAAACCGUGAAAACUUGGUAUGUUACAUUUGAUCCUCACGUUGAUUGAGAAAAACUACAAAAAAACAAACCAAGCCGUCAAAAGAAUACUGUGUGGUACAUGCUUGACUUGACUGUGUUUGGUGUACCUCGCAGAUUCCUUCCUCUUCCAACUACCUUCUCAUUUCGUUUGGAGGACACAGCAGCCACAUCUACCAACAAGCUUGAACAAAUCUUGGAGUGACACGUAGCAGGAUCCAAGUCGCUCGUGAAGGAAUGGCAAUCAGACGGCCAUUAUAAAUUUUUCACCAACCCCCUUUCUGUCCUAUCUACCUAACAGCUACGCAUGACUCACACACCAAUCUUCCUAUAAAUGCCCACUCACUCUCCAUUCAUCUCUCAGGAAAUCAACAAUUCUCCUAAGUAUUUCCACAUUUAACACAACAAUCUCUUCUCUCCCUCAUAACUUGAGCAAGCUAGCUCCAUUUUUUGUUACGAUAAUCAAUCUUUCAAGUAUAAUAUCUAUCAGUUUGCAAUAAUAUUAAGAUGGCACCAACCACCAAUGGCCACCACCAGAGCCAAAAUGAUUCCAUCUUCUGCACUGCUGCUAAAGCCGGCAGUGAUCCCUUGAGUUGGGGUGUAGCCGCAGAGUCAAUGAAGGGGAGCCACCUGGAUGAGGUCAAGCGCAUGGUGGCGGAGUACCGGAAGCCGGUGGUCAAGCUUGGCGGAGAAACUCUCACAAUAGCUCAGGUGGCUGCCAUCGCAGCAAACGACCAAGGCGUGAGCGUUGAGCUUUGUGAAUCAGCUAGAGCUGGCGUCAAGGCAAGCAGUGACUGGGUGAUGAACAGCAUGAACAACGGCACUGACAGUUACGGUGUCACCACCGGCUUCGGCGCCACCUCCCACCGUAGAACCAAAAAUGGCAAUGCUUUGCAGCUAGAACUCAUCAGGUACUAUACUAUACUAACUCAAAUCCACACUCAUCAUAACUAACUAGUACUAAUUAAUUAAUCAUCUUAUUUGCAAUUACAUUCAUUGUAUAAAAGUUGUUGAUGUUUAUAAAUUCUUGUUCUUCAGGUUUUUGAAUGCUGGAAUAUUUGGCAAUGGUACUGAAUCAACUCACACCCUGCCACAGCCUGCAACUAGAGCAGCCAUGCUAGUGAGGAUCAACACACUUCUCCAGGGAUACUCAGGCAUUAGAUUUGAAAUCCUAGAAGCUAUCACCAAGCUCAUCAACAACAACAUCACCCCUUGUUUACCACUUCGUGGUACUGUCACGGCUUCUGGUGAUCUGGUCCCUCUUUCCUACAUUGCUGGUUUGCUAACUGGCCGACAAAAUUCCAAAGCCGUUGGACCAUCCGGCGAGGUGGUUAAUGCCAAGGAAGCUUUCCAAUUGGCUGGCAUUGACUCUGGGUUCUUUGAAUUGCAGCCUAAGGAAGGGCUUGCCCUUGUAAAUGGCACUGCUGUUGGUUCUGGGUUAGCUUCUAUUGUUCUCUUUGAUGCUAAUGUAUUGGCUAUACUAUCUGAAGUUCUAUCAGCUAUUUUUGCCGAAGUGAUGCAAGGGAAACCUGAAUUCACUGACCAUUUGACUCAUAAGUUGAAGCACCACCCUGGCCAGAUUGAGGCUGCUGCUAU
RNAcentral lists this long non-coding RNA (9957 nucleotides) under Lotus japonicus. RNAcentral's name for it is "long non-coding RNA (LJAP_LNC001257)". The record is from RNAcentral. Lineage: Eukaryota; Viridiplantae; Streptophyta; Magnoliopsida; Fabales; Fabaceae.